CAACCAUCAAGCCCCCGGGCUUGCGUUGGGGCCCUGCGGCUGCCGCAGACCCCUAAAACCAGUGGCGGGCUCGCUGUCACACCGAGCGCAGUAGCAAUAUCUCGCUCUGGGCGCGGCGGCGGGCGCUUGCCGUAAAACACCCCACAUAUCAA
RNAcentral lists this unclassified non-coding RNA (152 nucleotides) under uncultured Podospora. Its description in RNAcentral is "partial internal transcribed spacer 2". The record is from RNAcentral. Lineage: Eukaryota; Fungi; Ascomycota; Sordariomycetes; Sordariales; Lasiosphaeriaceae.